Long non-coding RNA from Hirundo rustica (Barn swallow), 726 nucleotides. RefSeq lists it as uncharacterized. The transcript has 3 exons. NCBI's taxonomy places the organism in Eukaryota, Metazoa, Chordata, Aves, Passeriformes, Hirundinidae. The record is from RefSeq and is a predicted model, not a curated record.
GAGAGAGUCGCAGGAAAGCGCCAGUGUAAACACUACCUGGAAUUCUCUUUUUAGAUUGCUGGCCAGGAUGCAUUGCCAGAUAAAUGACACCCAAAGAGCAGCAAAAUACCAGGGAAAUGUUCAAGAUGUUUAUACCAGUUGGAACAGUGAACAUAUCACUGAAUAGAAGGUCUGAUGCAGCCAAAUUUUCAAGAAAAUCAGGAUCAUUCAUGCUUUCUCUCUACCAGCAGGAAUGUUCAUCUGAUAGGAUAUGAUCUCUAUUUGUCAUCUGCAAUGCAUGAUGGAAUCCUUUUGAGUCAUGUUUUAAAAAAUAUUAAUGAAAGCAAGAAGACAGCUGGAAAAAUUGCAAAGAGAAAAUGCCAAAACAAAUUGAGUAACUUUCUCCAGAAAAAUUCUGAAGCAAGGCUUCAAGUGCAAUUUAGGACAUCACACAGAGGAAAUAAGAUACAGGACAGAAGAUAAGCUCUCUUCUGGAGCUUGAAAUUGAAUUGUGAAUCAGCAAGGUACAGAAAUAUAAUGCAAAUAUUUCAGACAGGAGGUGCUGCAACUAAGUCCGUGUGAAUAUUACGUAGCUAAUUACUUUUGUGUUUUCUGUAUGAACCUAUUUUUAGGUCUUUUUUAAUAGAUUCACAAAUAAUCUUCUGGUAACAGUAUUCGUGGUUCAAAGCAUCUUCUGUUAUUAAAGUUGGGAAUCAAUUGCUGCUUACCAAACGAGUUUUGGUUUCU